This 349-nucleotide long non-coding RNA is filed under the name Ananas comosus (pineapple). RNAcentral's name for it is "long non-coding RNA (ACOM_LNC015142)". Lineage: Eukaryota; Viridiplantae; Streptophyta; Magnoliopsida; Poales; Bromeliaceae. The record is from RNAcentral.
AUUUAAGAAUAAAUUAUAUUUUUUAUUAUCAAACUUUAAUUUUAAUUUAUCAAAAUUAAUGACUGAAAUCAUUUAAAUUUUAACAACCGAUCGAGUCCUACAAUCAAAUUUAAUUAACUAAAUAUUGACGAAUUAUUAGCACAGAAGUGACGUACGUAGUAUUUUAAUUAUUGUCCUAUCACCGAUUAUAAUUUUUCACGUCACUUCAGUAUCAAUAAUUUAUUAAAAUUCAGUUAACUAAAUUAUUUAUAAUAAUUUAAAAAAUAUAAAUUAAAAAUUAUAAUAAAUCAAAAUUUGAAAAUCAAACUGUCAUGUGUCUUGUAGUCUGAGGACCAAAAGUGUAAUUUAU